AGAGUUUGAUCAUGGCUCAGGAUGAACGCUGGCGGUAUGCUUAACACAUGCAAGUCGAACGGGACCAUUCGUGGUUCAGUGGCGGACGGGUGAGUAACGCGUGAGAAUCUGGCUUCAGGUCGGGGACAACCACUGGAAACGGUGGCUAAUACCGGAUGUGCCUAGGGGUGAAAGAUUAAUCGCCUGAAGAUGAGCUCGCGUCUGAUUAGCUAGUUGGAGAGGUAAAGGCUCACCAAGGCGACGAUCAGUAGCUGGUCUGAGAGGACGAUCAGCCACACUGGGACUGAGACACGGCCCAGACUCCUACGGGAGGCAGCAGUGGGGAAUUUUCCGCAAUGGGCGAAAGCCUGACGGAGCAAUACCGCGUGAGGGAGGAAGGCUCUUGGGUUGUAAACCUCUUUUCUCAGGGAAGAAGAUCUGACGGUACCUGAGGAAUCAGCAUCGGCUAACUCCGUGCCAGCCGCCGCGGUAAUAC
This 475-nucleotide ribosomal RNA is filed under the name uncultured bacterium. Its description in RNAcentral is "bacterial SSU rRNA". It matches the Rfam family "Bacterial small subunit ribosomal RNA", at positions 8 to 526 of the family's 1533-position model. The record is from RNAcentral.